RNAcentral lists this microRNA (23 nucleotides) under Lingula anatina. Its description in RNAcentral is "Lan-Mir-252-P2_3p* (star (passenger))". The record is from RNAcentral. Lineage: Eukaryota; Metazoa; Brachiopoda; Lingulata; Lingulida; Lingulidae.
UCCUGUUGUUCUGGUACUUACUA